UUCGGCGACCAUGGCGAAGGGGAAACACCCGGUCCCAUUCCGAACCCGGCAGUUAAGCCCUUCAGCGCCGAUGGUACUGCACGCGAGAGCAUGUGGGAGAGUAGGACGUCGCCGGAC
This 117-nucleotide ribosomal RNA is filed under the name Nocardioidaceae bacterium. The record is from RNAcentral. Lineage: Bacteria; Bacillati; Actinomycetota; Actinomycetes; Propionibacteriales; Nocardioidaceae.